Molecule: ribosomal RNA, 423 nt
Filed under: uncultured bacterium
Lineage: Bacteria
Description: bacterial SSU rRNA
Rfam family: Bacterial small subunit ribosomal RNA
Source: RNAcentral
GUGGGGAAUAUUGCACAAUGGGGGAAACCCUGAUGCAGCGACGCCGCGUGAGUGAAGAAGUAUUUCGGUAUGUAAAGCUCUAUCAGCAGGGAAGAUAUAAGGGCCUUCGGGCCUUGGACGGUACCUGACUAAGAAGCCCCGGCUAACUACGUGCCAGCAGCCGCGGUAAUACGUAGGGGGCAAGCGUUAUCCGGAUUUACUGGGUGUAAAGGGAGCGUAGACGGUGAAGCAAGUCUGAAGUGAAAGGCCGGGGCCCAACCCCGGGACUGCUUUGGAAACUGUUUGACUGGAGUACAGGAGAGGUAAGUGGAAUUCCUAGUGUAGCGGUGAAAUGCGUAGAUAUUAGGAGGAACACCAGUGGCGAAGGCGGCUUACUGGACUGUAACUGACGUUGAGGCUCGAAAGCGUGGGGAGCAAACAGGA